Long non-coding RNA from Lytechinus variegatus (green sea urchin), 643 nucleotides. RefSeq lists it as uncharacterized. The record is from RefSeq and is a predicted model, not a curated record. The transcript is spliced from 4 exons. NCBI's taxonomy places the organism in Eukaryota, Metazoa, Echinodermata, Echinoidea, Temnopleuroida, Toxopneustidae.
UUGAGUUUAAAGAUGCUGAGAAGUAAUGAAUUGCAGGCUAAUUACUAUAUAUUCAUUUCUGCUAAAAUAUUCACGUCCAUGAAUAAAUGUGUAGAAACAUACUUACACUCAUUUACAGAAAUGAAAUAAAUCUACAUAAGCUGUUGAAAAAUGAUGAACCUAACCACUUUUUUGGAUUUAGAAAUCAGGAAUUGGAAUUAAAUCCACUUUUAUUAGCCUUAAAUUUGUACAGAAAUAGUUCCAGUUGUAAAAGCCCCGCCAUGUUGAAUCAAGGCUGCAAGUCAAUAUGGACGAUCAAGUCCUUCGUGUACACUGGUUAGCACAAGUACUCAUCGAAACUAAUGCGACAUUGUUUUGAUAUGGCAGAGGAACUGAAAUGAUUAAUAAUCUGGGAGCAGCCUUCUACAAACGAUCUUCUCACAAUGAUUAACCGAGUGCGAAGGGUCAGGUUGAAAUCAUAUUUCCUGUAUCUAUUUUACACCUGGAUCACUUAUAUUGUGACGUCGACUACUGCGACCAUGGAAACGGUCACUAAUCUUACAUUGAAUUGCACAAAUAGAAUCUCGAUUACAUCUCCCGGAUAUCCUUCCCAAUACCAAAAUAAUAUCUUCAAGGAAUGGUACAUCAAAGCACCUCGUCAGAG